Molecule: ribosomal RNA, 443 nt
Filed under: uncultured Rhizobiaceae bacterium
Lineage: Bacteria; Pseudomonadati; Pseudomonadota; Alphaproteobacteria; Hyphomicrobiales; Rhizobiaceae
Description: bacterial SSU rRNA
Rfam family: Bacterial small subunit ribosomal RNA
Source: RNAcentral
UCCUACGGGUGGCUGCAGUGGGGAAUAUUGGACAAUGGGCGCAAGCCUGAUCCAGCCAUGCCGCGUGAGUGAUGAAGGUCUUAGGAUUGUAAAGCUCUUUCACCGAUGAAGAUAAUGACGGUAGUCGGAGAAGAAGCCCCGGCUAACUUCGUGCCAGCAGCCGCGGUAAUACGAAGGGGGCUAGCGUUGUUCGGAAUUACUGGGCGUAAAGCGCACGUAGGCGGAUAUUUAAGUCAGGGGUGAAAUCCCGCAGCUCAACUGCGGAACUGCCUUUGAUACUGGGUAUCUCGAGUAUGGAAGAGGUGAGUGGAAUUCCGAGUGUAGAGGUGAAAUUCGUAGAUAUUCGGAGGAACACCAGUGGCGAAGGCGGCUCACUGGUCCAUUACUGACGCUGAGGUGCGAAAGCGUGGGGAGCAAACAGGAUUAGAUACCCCGGUAGUCUC